Molecule: non-coding RNA, 46 nt
Filed under: Schistosoma mansoni
Lineage: Eukaryota; Metazoa; Platyhelminthes; Trematoda; Strigeidida; Schistosomatidae
Source: RNAcentral
GUACUGCUGAGGAGUCCCACAAUAGGACAAAACGACCGUCUAGUGU